This 347-nucleotide unclassified non-coding RNA is filed under the name Hevea brasiliensis (rubber tree). The record is from RNAcentral. Lineage: Eukaryota; Viridiplantae; Streptophyta; Magnoliopsida; Malpighiales; Euphorbiaceae.
UGGACUUUUCGACUAUCCGAUGCUUAUAAGCAGUUGUGUGAAGUUCCGGGUUUAGCAGAAAGAAUGGCUGCAUUAAUGUGUGUAGAUGUUGAUUUGGACUCAGCAACUGAGCAGGAAGGUGAAGAGGAUAGUAGCAAAUUGAGUGCAGUGGAAAUAGUGGAGAGAGAAAUGUGUAAAGUAAAAGAAGGCCAGGAUUAUACGAGAUGGUUGGAGCUUGAGGAACUUGACGUUGAUGAUCACAUGCUUGUAUCUCUUGAUUUGCCUAGUAAAUUUCCAAACUUACUGGCACUGAGCCUGUGCGGCAACAAUCUGAGCGAUGUUGAGGUUGUUUCUAAGGAAGUUACCCG